UACGAAGGGGGCUAGCGUUGCUCGGAAUCACUGGACGUAAAGGGUGCGUAGGCGGGUCUUUAAGUCAGGGGUGAAAUCCUGGAGCUCAACUCCAGAACUGCCUUUGAUACUGAAGAUCUUGAGUUCGGGAGAGGUGAGUGGAACUGCGAAUGUAGAGGUGAAAUUCGUAGAUAUUCGCAAGAACACCAGUGGCGAAGGCGGCUCACUGGCCCGAUACUGACGCUGAGGCACGAAAGCGUGGGGAGCAAACAGG
This 253-nucleotide ribosomal RNA is filed under the name uncultured bacterium. RNAcentral describes it as "partial 16S ribosomal RNA". It matches the Rfam family "Bacterial small subunit ribosomal RNA", at positions 524 to 776 of the family's 1533-position model. The record is from RNAcentral.